This 444-nucleotide ribosomal RNA is filed under the name uncultured bacterium. Its description in RNAcentral is "SSU rRNA". It matches the Rfam family "Bacterial small subunit ribosomal RNA", at positions 26 to 518 of the family's 1533-position model. The record is from RNAcentral.
AGAACGAACGCUGGCGGCAUGCCUAACACAUGCAAGUCGAACGAGACCUUCGGGUCUAGUGGCGCACGGGUGCGUAACGCGUGGGAAUCUGCCCUUAGGUACGGAAUAACAGUGAGAAAUUACUGCUAAUACCGUAUGAAGUCUUCGGACCAAAGAUUUAUCGCCUAGGGAUGAGCCCGCGUUGGAUUAGCUAGUUGGUGGGGUAAAGGCCUACCAAGGCGACGAUCCAUAGCUGGUCUGAGAGGAUGAUCAGCCACACUGGGACUGAGACACGGCCCAGACUCCUACGGGAGGCAGCAGUGGGGAAUAUUGGACAAUGGGCGAAAGCCUGAUCCAGCAAUGCCGCGUGAGUGAAGAAGGCCUUCGGGUUGUAAAGCUCUUUUACCCGGGAAGAUAAUGACUGUACCGGAGAAUAAGCCCGGCUAACUCCGUGCCAGCAGCCGC